GCGGGUUUAGCUCAGUUGGGAGAGCGUCAGACUGAAGCUAACUUCAGUAAGUCAAUCUGAAGGUCGUGUGUUCGAUCCACACAAACCGCA
RNAcentral lists this transfer RNA (90 nucleotides) under Thermothielavioides terrestris NRRL 8126. RNAcentral's name for it is "Thielavia terrestris NRRL 8126 tRNA". It matches the Rfam family "tRNA". Rfam says of the family: Transfer RNA (tRNA) molecules are approximately 80 nucleotides in length. Their secondary structure includes four short double-helical elements and three loops (D, anti-codon, and T loops). Further hydrogen bonds mediate the characteristic L-shaped molecular structure. tRNAs have two regions of fundamental functional importance: the anti-codon, which is responsible for specific mRNA codon recognition, and the 3' end, to which the tRNAs corresponding amino acid is attached (by aminoacyl-tRNA synthetases). tRNAs cope with the degeneracy of the genetic code in two manners: having more than one tRNA (with a specific anti-codon) for a particular amino acid; and 'wobble' base-pairing, i.e. permitting non-standard base-pairing at the 3rd anti-codon position. The record is from Rfam by way of RNAcentral. Lineage: Eukaryota; Fungi; Ascomycota; Sordariomycetes; Sordariales; Chaetomiaceae.